AAAUCAAAAAAGGUCUCAAAAAUCCUCAAGCAAAACAAAACAAGGUUCAGUGUCCAUCAUCUCAAGAAUCAAAGGGUCACCAACAUCCAUGAAGAGCAAAAAACGAUGACUGCCAUUUCAAGAGAUUUAUUAAAUUAUCUUAAGAGUUAAAUGUGUGUGUUGAAGUAAAUGAACGUAGGAUUGGAGAUCAUCAUGAAAAAGGGGUGGGUUAAAACAA
Molecule: long non-coding RNA, 217 nt
Filed under: Lathyrus oleraceus (garden pea)
Lineage: Eukaryota; Viridiplantae; Streptophyta; Magnoliopsida; Fabales; Fabaceae
Description: Pisum sativum (pea) long non-coding RNA (PSAT_LNC014646)
Source: RNAcentral